GGCGAACGGGUGAGUAACACGUGGGUGAUCUGCCCUGCACUUCGGGAUAAGCCUGGGAAACUGGGUCUAGUACCGGAUAGGACGAUGGUUUGGAUGCCAUUGUGGAAAGUUUUUCGGUGUGGGAUGAGCUCGCGGCCUAUCAGCUUGUUGGUGGGGUAAUGGCCUACCAAGGCGACGACGGGUAGCCGGCCUGAGAGGGUGUACGGCCACAUUGGGACUGAGACACGGCCCAG
This 233-nucleotide ribosomal RNA is filed under the name uncultured Actinomycetales bacterium. RNAcentral's name for it is "partial 16S ribosomal RNA". It matches the Rfam family "Bacterial small subunit ribosomal RNA", at positions 97 to 334 of the family's 1533-position model. The record is from RNAcentral. Lineage: Bacteria; Bacillati; Actinomycetota; Actinomycetes; Actinomycetales.